UACACGUGGAUAACCUACCCUUGAGACGGGGAUAAACCCGGGAAACUGGGUAUAAUACCCGAUAGAUCUCGACUGCUGGAAUGCAUCGAGCUUGAAAGCUCCGGCGCUCAAGGAUGGAUCUGCGGCCUAUCAGGUAGUAGUGGGUGUAGCGCACCUACUAGCCUACGACGGGUACGGGUUGUGAGAGCAAGAGCCCGGAGAUGGAUUCUGAGACACGAAUCCAGGCCCUACGGGGUGCAGCAGGCGCGAAAACUUUACAAUGCUGGAAACAGCGAUAAGGGGACCUCGAGUGCCAGGUUACAAAUCUGGCUGUCGUGAUGCCUAAAAAGCAUUGCAUAGCAAGGGCCGGGCAAGACCGGUGCCAGCCGCCGCGGUAACACCGGCGGCUCGAGUGGUAACCGUUAUUAUUGGGUCUAAAGGGUCUGUAGCCGGCCGGAUAAGUCUCUUGGGAAAUCUGGCAGCUUAACUGUCAGGCUUUCAGGAGAUACUGUCUGGCUCGAGGCCGGGAGAGGUGAGAGGUACUUCAGGGGUAGGGGUGAAAUCUUGUAAUCCUUGAAGGACCACCAGUGGCGAAGGCGUCUCACCAGAACGGACCUGACGGCAAGGGACGAAAGCUAGGGGCACGAACCGGAUUAGAUACCCGGGUAGUCCUAGCCGUAAACGAUACUCGCUAGGUGUCGGCCACGGUGCGACCGUUGUCGGUGCCGUAGGGAAGCCGUGAAGCGAGCCACCUGGAAGU
This 739-nucleotide ribosomal RNA is filed under the name uncultured Methanotrichaceae archaeon. RNAcentral's name for it is "bacterial SSU rRNA". It matches the Rfam family "Archaeal small subunit ribosomal RNA", at positions 95 to 836 of the family's 1478-position model. Lineage: Archaea; Methanobacteriati; Methanobacteriota; Methanomicrobia; Methanotrichales; Methanotrichaceae. The record is from RNAcentral.